RNAcentral lists this ribosomal RNA (426 nucleotides) under uncultured bacterium. RNAcentral describes it as "bacterial SSU rRNA". It matches the Rfam family "Bacterial small subunit ribosomal RNA", at positions 355 to 771 of the family's 1533-position model. The record is from RNAcentral.
UGGGGAAUUUUGGUCAAUGGCCGAAAGGCUGAACCAGCGACGCUGCGUGCGGGAGGAAGCCCCUCGGGGUGUAAACCGCUGUCAGAGGGGAAGAACCGUGGGAUGGUGAACAGUCAUCCCGCCUGACGGUACCCUCAAAGGAAGCGCCGGCUCACUCCGUGCCAGCAGCCGCGGUAAGACGGAGGGUGCUAGCGUUGUUCGGAAUUACUGGGCGUAAAGGGCGCGUAGGCGGCCUGGGAAGUCGGCUUGUGAAAGCCCGGGGCUCAACCCCGGAGGUGCGGCCGAGACUCCCUGGCUGGAGGCCGGAAGAGGAGGGUGGAAUACCCAGUGUAGAGGUGAAAUUCGUAGAUAUUGGGUGGAACACCGGUGGCGAAAGCGGCUCUCUGGUCCGGACCUGACGCUGAGGCGCGAAAGCGUGGGGAGCAA